Molecule: ribosomal RNA, 328 nt
Filed under: uncultured bacterium
Lineage: Bacteria
Description: SSU rRNA
Rfam family: Bacterial small subunit ribosomal RNA
Source: RNAcentral
AGGAUGAACGCUGGCGGCGUGCCUAAUACAUGCAAGUCGAGCGGUAAGGCCCUUCGGGGUACACGAGCGGCGGACGGCUGAGUAACACGUAGGAACGUACCCCAAAGUGAGGGAUAAGCACCAGAAAUGGUGUCUAAUACCGCAUGUGCUCUAAGGAGUAAAGCUUCGGCGCUUUGGGAACGGCCUGCGCAUGAUUAGUUUGUUGGUGGGGUAAAAGCCUACCAAGACUACGAUCAUUAGCUGGUCUGAGAGGAUGACCAGCCAGACUGGAACUGAGAACGGUCCAGACUCCUACGGGAGGCAGCAGUAGGGAAUUUUCCACAUGGGC